Molecule: ribosomal RNA, 1407 nt
Filed under: uncultured bacterium
Lineage: Bacteria
Description: bacterial SSU rRNA
Rfam family: Bacterial small subunit ribosomal RNA
Source: RNAcentral
GAUGAACGCUGGCGGCGUGCUUAACACAUGCAAGUCGAACGAACCUUCGGGUUAGUGGCGGACGGGUGAGUAACGCGUGGGAAUCUGCCCUCAGGAGGGGGAUAACGGCUGGAAACGGCCGCUAAUACCCCAUAUGCCGAGAGGUGAAAUGAAUUUCGCCUGAGGAUGAGCCCGCGUCUGAUUAGCUAGUUGGUGAGGUAAUGGCUCACCAAGGCUUCGAUCAGUAGCUGGUCUGAGAGGAUGAUCAGCCACACUGGGACUGAGACACGGCCCAGACUCCUACGGGAGGCAGCAGUGGGGAAUUUUCCGCAAUGGGCGAAAGCCUGACGGAGCAACGCCGCGUGAGGGAUGAAGGCCUCUGGGCUGUAAACCUCUUUUCUCAAGGAAGAAGAUCUGACGGUACUUGAGGAAUAAGCCACGGCUAAUUCCGUGCCAGCAGCCGCGGUAAUACGGGAGUGGCAAGCGUUAUCCGGAAUUAUUGGGCGUAAAGCGUCCGCAGGCGGCCUUUCAAGUCUGCUGUUAAAGCGUGGAGCUUAACUCCAUCAAGGCAGUGGAAACUGUUGGGCUUGAGUGUGGUAGGGGCAGAGGGAAUUCCCGGUGUAGCGGUGAAAUGCGUAGAUAUCGGGAAGAACACCAGUGGCGAAGGCGCUCUGCUGGGCCAUAACUGACGCUCAUGGACGAAAGCCAGGGGAGCGAAAGGGAUUAGAUACCCCUGUAGUCCUGGCCGUAAACGAUGAACACUAGGUGUCGGGGGAAUCGACCCCCUCGGUGUCGUAGCCAACGCGUUAAGUGUUCCGCCUGGGGAGUACGCACGCAAGUGUGAAACUCAAAGGAAUUGACGGGGGCCCGCACAAGCGGUGGAGUAUGUGGUUUAAUUCGAUGCAACGCGAAGAACCUUACCAGGGUUUGACAUCCUGCGAACCUCUAAGAAAUUGGAGGGUGCCUUCGGGAACGCAGUGACAGGUGGUGCAUGGCUGUCGUCAGCUCGUGUCGUGAGAUGUUGGGUUAAGUCCCGCAACGAGCGCAACCCACGUUUUUAGUUGCCAGCAUUUAGUUGGGCACUCUAGAGAGACCGCCGGUGAUAAACCGGAGGAAGGUGUGGAUGACGUCAAGUCAUCAUGCCCCUUACAUCCUGGGCUACACACGUACUACAAUGCUACGGACAAAGGGCAGCAAACUCGCGAGAGCUAGCAAAUCCCAUAAACCGUGGCUCAGUUCAGAUCGUAGGCUGCAACUCGCCUACGUGAAGGAGGAAUCGCUAGUAAUCGCAGGUCAGCAUACUGCGGUGAAUACGUUCCCGGGCCUUGUACACACCGCCCGUCACACCAUGGAAGUUGGCCACGCCCGAAGUCGUUACUCCAACCCUUGUGGAGGAGGACGCCGAAGGUGGGGCUGAUGACUGGGGUG